GGAGGUGAUGGUGGUGGUGGUGGUGGUGUUAGUGUUAGUGUUAGUGUACAAGGCCCGCUGACUGGAGGUUUGAGACGCCGUGUGAGCUGGCUUGACUUGGGUGACCUGCACUGAUGGAGAGGCCGUUUUUCAACUAUUGGAUCUGGAGAUAGGGAUCUGGAGAUAGGAAGACCUGGCCUGACUUGCCGAGACCAGUGACGGAGACGCUUUUUCAACCACUUGAUCGAGAUGUUUGUUGGUGUGGUGCUGCUGCUGCCUGGAUGUCUGGAUCUUGUACCGCUUGUCACCUGCUUGAGUGAUGGCCCACGUCGCGCCAGCCUGGACGAUGUGCCCGUGUUGCCUGACGCCCGAUGAUGGCGACUUCUGCCAAGAAAGAAAGCCCUGAGGAUUUUCGUCACUGGCAUGACGUUCGUAACGGCGGCCGUCUUGCUUCAUGACCUAAUUAAUUAAUGUACACUAGUCAUAAGCAGCUGUGUUGUUGCUGAUGAUUAAGCGCCCAUUUGUAAAGAGUUUGAGGACUCCUCCCCAAUAAAAAUGACAUUAUUAUUA
Scylla paramamosain (green mud crab) is the source of this 549-nucleotide long non-coding RNA. RefSeq lists it as uncharacterized. NCBI's taxonomy places the organism in Eukaryota, Metazoa, Arthropoda, Malacostraca, Decapoda, Portunidae. The transcript has 3 exons. The record is from RefSeq and is a predicted model, not a curated record.